Molecule: ribosomal RNA, 392 nt
Filed under: uncultured Gammaproteobacteria bacterium
Lineage: Bacteria; Pseudomonadati; Pseudomonadota; Gammaproteobacteria
Description: bacterial SSU rRNA
Rfam family: Bacterial small subunit ribosomal RNA
Source: RNAcentral
AGUGGGCGCAAGCCUGAUCCAGCCAUGCCGCGUGUGUGAUGAAGGCCCUAGGGUUGUAAAACACUUUCAGUGGGGAAGAUAAUGACGGUACCCACAGAAGAAGCUCCGGCUAACUCCGUGCCAGCAGCCGCGGUAAUACGGAGGGAGCUAGCGUUGUUCGGAAUUACUGGGCGUAAAGCGCACGUAGGCGGAUUUGUUAGUCAGAGGUGAAAUCCCGGGGCUCAACCUCGGAACUGCCUUUGAUACUGCAAGUCUAGAGACCGAGAGAGGUGAGUGGAAUUUCCAGUGUAGAGGUGAAAUUCGUAGAUAUUGGAAAGAACACCAGUGGCGAAGGCGGCUCACUGGCUCGGUACUGACGCUGAGGUGCGAAAGCGUGGGGAGCAAACAGGAUU